AGAGUUUGAUCCUGGCUCAGGACGAACGCUGGCGGCGUGCCUAACACAUGCAAGUCACGGGGGGUAGCAAUACCAACCGGCGAACGGGUGCGGAACACGUGAGCAAUCUACCGAUUACUGGGGGAUAGCCGGCCCAACGGCCGGGUAAUACCGCAUACGCUCAAGAGGGGACAUCCCCAUUUGAGGAAACCUCCGGGGGUAAUCGAGGAGCUCGCGUCUUAUCAGCUAGUUGGUGAGGUAACGGCUCACCAAGGCUACGACGGGUAGCUGGUCUGAGAGGAUGGCCAGCCACAUUGGGACUGCGACACGGCCCAGACUCCUACGGGAGGCAGCAGUGGGGAAUAUUGCGCAAUGGACGAAAGUCUGACGCAGCGACGCCGCGUGUGGGAUGAAGCUCUUCGGGGUGUAAACCACUGUUGCCCGGGACGAAUAUCCUUUUUUGAAAGGAUUGACGGUACCGGGUGAGGAAGCACCGGCUAACUCUGUGCCAGCAGCCGCGGUAAUACAGAGGGUGCGAGCGUUGUCCGGAAUCACUGGGCGUAAAGGGCGCGUAGGUGGCUUGUUAAGCGUGUGGUGAAAGCCUGGGGCUCAACCCCAGGUCUGCCGUGCGAACUGGCAAGCUUGAGCGUAGUAGAGGCAGGUGGAAUUUCGGGUGUAGCGGUGGAAUGCGUAGAUAUCCGAAAGAACACCGGUGGCGAAGGCGGCCUGCUGGGCUACUGCUGACACUGAUGCGCGACAGCGUGGGGAGCAAACAGGAUUAGAUACCCUGGUAGUCCACGCCGUAAACGAUGGGUACUAGGCGUCUGGGGGAGCGACCCCCUGGGUGCCGGCGCUAACGCAUGAAGUACCCCGCCUGGGGAGUACGGCCGCAAGGCUGAAACUCAAAGGAAUUGACGGGGGCCCGCACAAGCGGUGGAGCAUGUGGUUUAAUUCGACGCAACGCGAAGAACCUUACCUGGGUUUGACAUGCUGGAGAAAGCCCUCAGAAACGGGGGCCCCUCUUCGGAGUUCCAGCACAGAUGCUGCAUGGCUGUCGUCAGCUCGUGUCGUGAGAUGUUGGGUUAAGUCCCGCAACGAGCGCAACCCUCAUCCCUAGUUACCAGCGGGUAAAGCCGGGAACUCUAGGGGGACUGCCGGUGCCAAACCGGACGAAGGUGGGGACGACGUCAAGUCAUCAUGGCUCUUACAUCCAGGGCUACACACGUGCUACAAUGGGCAGACAAAGGGUCGCCAACCCGCGAGGGGGAGCCAAUCCCAUAAACUGGUCCUCAGUUCGGAUUGCAGUCUGCAACUCGACUGCAUGAAGCUGGAAUCGCUAGUAAUCGUGGAUCAGCUACGCCACGGUGAAUACGUUCCCGGGCCUUGUACACGCCGCCCGUCACGCCAUGGAAGCUGUGAGUGCCCGAAGUCCGUGCAGGAACCCGCAAGGGGCCGAGCGGCCGAAGGCAAGCGCAGUGACUGGGGCGAAGUCGUAACAAGGUA
RNAcentral lists this ribosomal RNA (1482 nucleotides) under metagenome. Its description in RNAcentral is "bacterial SSU rRNA". It matches the Rfam family "Bacterial small subunit ribosomal RNA". The record is from RNAcentral.